UUUCCGUAGGUGAACCUGCGGAAGGAUCAUUGUCGAAACCUGCCCAGCAGAACGACCCGCGAACUUGUAUAACAACCGGGGGCGGGGGGCGUUCUCGCCCCGUGCCCCCGAACGGCGGGGAGACACUCGUGCCUUCUUGCCGAACAACGAACCCCGGCGCGGUCUGCGCCAAGGAACUUCAACUAAAGAGUGCCUCCGGUCGCCUCGGAAACGGCGUGCGUGCCGGGGGCGAAUCUUGUGCAAAACCAUAACGACUCUCGGCAACGGAUAUCUCGGCUCUC
Molecule: unclassified non-coding RNA, 281 nt
Filed under: plant metagenome
Description: partial contains small subunit ribosomal RNA, internal transcribed spacer 1, and 5.8S ribosomal RNA
Source: RNAcentral